AUGAACGCUGGCGGCGUGCCUAAUACAUGCAAGUCGAGCGAACGGACGAGAAGCUUGCUUUUCUGAUGUUAGCGGCGGACGGGUGAGUAACACGUGGAUAACCUACCUAUAAGACUGGGAUAACUUCGGGAAACCGGAGCUAAUACCGGAUAAUAUUUUGAACCGCAUGGUUUAAAAGUGAAAGACGGUCUUGCUGUCACUUAUAGAUGGAUCCGCGCUGCAUUAGCUAGUUGGUAAGGUAACGGCUUACCAAGGCAACGAUGCAUAGCCGACCUGAGAGGGUGAUCGGCCACACUGGAACUGAGACACGGUCCAGACUCCUACGGGAGGCAGCAGUAGGGAAUCUUCCGCAAUGGGCGAAAGCCUGACGGAGCAACGCCGCGUGAGUGAUGAAGGUCUUCGGAUCGUAAAACUCUGUUAUUAGGGAAGAACAUAUGUGUAAGUAACUGUGCACAUCUUGACGGUACCUAAUCAGAAAGCCACGGCUAACUACGU
RNAcentral lists this ribosomal RNA (495 nucleotides) under uncultured bacterium. RNAcentral describes it as "partial 16S ribosomal RNA". It matches the Rfam family "Bacterial small subunit ribosomal RNA", at positions 29 to 506 of the family's 1533-position model. The record is from RNAcentral.